RNAcentral lists this ribosomal RNA (381 nucleotides) under Sabellidae sp. 095-IOM-0285. RNAcentral's name for it is "partial 16S ribosomal RNA". The stretch from base 49 to 381 matches the Rfam family "Bacterial large subunit ribosomal RNA", at positions 2048 to 2598 of the family's 2925-position model. Lineage: Eukaryota; Metazoa; Annelida; Polychaeta; Sabellida; Sabellidae. The record is from RNAcentral.
CGGACACACGAGGCUAACCCUUUAUUUUUACUUUUAUGUAAACUAAGAUACAAGUGCAAACGCUUGUAUAAAACAGAAAGACGAGAAGACCCUAUAGAGCUUUACCGCUACCCUAAUAAUUAAAUUUGAGGGUCAAGGUUUAGUUGGGGCAACUAUAACUCAUACUAGAAGUACUAUUGUUAAAUUCACCCUCAACAGACCCCCAGUCAGUUUUUUAAGCGACCCUAUUAUGAUCACAGAACAUAGCUACCUUAGGGAUAACAGGCUGGUUUCUUUUGAGAGUCCCUAUUAACAAAGAAGAUCGGCACCUCGAUGUUGGCUUAGGAUACCCUGUAGGUGCAGGCGCUUAUAAGGUGGGUUUGUUCAACCCAUAAAAUCCCU